GUUGGUGUUGCGCGGCACGUAGUUGAUGAAUGCGUAUCCGCGCGCCUGAUCGAUGGUGUGGAACAACGGGUUCCAGUCGAAAAAGGCAAUCAUGGACCCCGGCAGCGAAUUGGCGACAAACAUCUUGCCCGACGCGAUCAUGUUUGCACGGCG
Molecule: non-coding RNA, 153 nt
Filed under: Marivita hallyeonensis
Lineage: Bacteria; Pseudomonadati; Pseudomonadota; Alphaproteobacteria; Rhodobacterales; Roseobacteraceae
Description: Marivita sp. DPG-28 Ruegeria cis2 sRNA
Rfam family: Ruegeria cis2 sRNA
About the family: Cis-encoded. Targets ABC transporter.
Source: Rfam by way of RNAcentral